Molecule: ribosomal RNA, 373 nt
Filed under: uncultured organism
Description: partial 16S ribosomal RNA
Rfam family: Bacterial small subunit ribosomal RNA
Source: RNAcentral
GUAGGUGGCAAGCGUUGUCCGGAAUUAUUGGGCGUAAAGCGCGCGCAGGCGGUUCUUUAAGUCUGAUGUGAAAGCCCACGGCUCAACCGUGGGGGGUCAUUGGAAACUGGAGAACUUGAGUACAGAAGAGGAAAGCGGAAUUCCACGUGUAGCGGUGAAAUGCGUAGAGAUGUGGAGGAACACCAGUGGCGAAGGCGGCUUUCUGGUCUGUAACUGACGCUGAGGCGCGAAAGCGUGGGGAGCAAACAGGGAUUAGAUACCCUGGUAGUCCACGCCGUAAACGAUGAGUGCUAAGUGUUAGGGGGUUUCCCGCCCCUUAGUGCUGCAGCUAACGCAUUAAGCACUCCGCCUGGGGAGUACGGCCGCAAGGCUG